RNAcentral lists this long non-coding RNA (4380 nucleotides) under Brassica napus (rape). RNAcentral's name for it is "long non-coding RNA (BNAP_LNC000043)". The record is from RNAcentral. Lineage: Eukaryota; Viridiplantae; Streptophyta; Magnoliopsida; Brassicales; Brassicaceae.
CUCUUCCUCGGGAAACGCAAACCACCCUCUCGCCCUCGAAAAUGAUGACUACGACGAGAAGCCUCGUGAGGAGUGCGGUGUUGUCGGAAUCUACGGCGACUCGGAAGCCUCGCGCCUCUGCUACCUAGCCCUCCACGCGCUCCAGCACCGAGGCCAAGAAGGCGCGGGAAUCGUAACCGUCAGCAAAGACAAGGUCCUCCAGACAAUAACAGGCGUCGGUCUUGUCUCCGAGGUCUUCAACGAGUCCAAACUCGACCAGCUACCAGGCGACAUCGCCAUCGGCCACGUCCGUUACUCCACCGCCGGCUCCUCCAUGCUCAAAAACGUCCAGCCUUUCGUCGCCGGGUACCGCUUCGGCUCCGUGGGGGUCGCGCACAACGGGAACUUAGUCAACUACACGAAGCUCCGAGCCGAGUUAGAAGAGAACGGUUCGAUUUUUAACACCAGCUCUGACACCGAGGUUGUCCUUCAUUUGAUAGCUAUCUCCAAAGCUAGACCGUUCUUCAUGAGGAUCGUUGACGCGUGUGAGAAGCUUCAAGGCGCUUACUCGAUGGUGUUUGUUACCGAGGAUAAGCUUGUGGCGGUUCGUGACCCUCACGGGUUUAGACCGUUAGUGAUGGGAAGGAGGAGUAACGGAGCUGUUGUGUUUGCUUCGGAGACUUGCGCUCUUGAUUUAAUCGAGGCUACUUAUGAGAGAGAGGUUUACCCUGGUGAGGUUUUGGUUGUUGAUAAAGAUGGUGUUAAGUCUCAGUGUUUAAUGCCUCAUCCUGAACCUAAGCAGUGUAUUUUCGAACAUAUUUACUUUUCGUUACCGAACUCGAUCGUGUUUGGUCGGUCUGUGUAUGAGUCUAGGCAUGUGUUUGGGGAGAUUUUAGCAACCGAGUCGCCUGUUGAUUGCGAUGUGGUGAUCGCUGUGCCUGACUCUGGUGUUGUCGCUGCUCUGGGGUACGCUGCUAAGUCCGGAGUUGCGUUUCAGCAAGGGUUGAUUAGGUCUCAUUACGUUGGGAGGACGUUCAUCGAACCCUCUCAGAAGAUCAGAGACUUUGGAGUGAAGCUGAAGCUGUCUCCCGUCCGUGGAGUUUUGGAAGGGAAGAGAGUCGUUGUUGUUGACGACUCCAUCGUUAGAGGAACUACCUCGUCAAAGAUUGUUCGUCUCUUGAGAGAAGCUGGUGCCAAAGAGGUUCACAUGAGGAUCGCGAGUCCUCCUAUCGUUGCUUCUUGUUACUACGGUGUGGACACGCCCAGCUCGGAGGAGUUGAUUUCGAAUAGGAUGAGUGUUGAUGAAGUAAGGGACUACAUCGGAAGCGACUCUCUUGCCUUCCUGUCGUUUGAGACGUUGAAGAAACACUUGGGAGAAGAUUCGAAAACCUUCUGCUAUGCGUGCUUCACUGGGAACUAUCCAGUGAAGCCUACGGAGGAUAAGGUGAAGCGAGGAGGUGGAGAUUUCAUCGAUGAUGGUCUCGUUGGUGGGAUUAACAACAUCGAAGGAGGUUGGGUUCGAUAAGGUCGCGAGUUCGAUGCGCGCGUGAAACAAUUUUGGGUACUAAUGGAGUUAUAUGAUGACGAAAAUCUUGUUGAAUUUUUGAUCCAUUUGACCUAAUUGCUGCAUGUUUACUAUUAUUAUUUUGAGGUAUGAGAUGGGAGUGGACAAGAGGCUUGUUCUUGUCUGAUGAAUCUUUGAAAGUGUUUUGUUCUAUUGCCUUAAAGCUAAGUUUUUGAAAAUUGAAAUUGUAUUGGUAAAAUCCUGGUUUCAAUUCAAACCGGUAUCGGUUUACGUGGACUAAACACUUCCACGUCACUGCUGAUUAUGCAAAUUACAGAUAUACCCUCAGAAACAUUUCCAGUGGAUAUUGUUUGUCUCGCUAACUACUUCCUUCUCCGACCGAUAAACACAGAACAGAGGAGUUAAGAGAUUAAGGAUCCCACUGUGGCGAUGGCUAACGUGUUCCACGCCCACCAGUCUCACUUAUUCUUCCCUCUCAAUCCUUCAAUCUCCACCGUCCGUUCCAAGACGCAUGCGUUCCACUUCCCGCAAUCAACGGUUCCGGCUAACCUCUUUACGAACCUCUCCGUGCGGCGGAGGAGCGUGAAGUGUAUGGCGAACCCGAGAAGAGUCAAGAUGGUGGCUAAGCAGAUAAUGAGGGAGCUCUCCGACAUGCUUCUCACAGACACUGUAUUGCAACACGCCGUGUUGCCCGAAGCUGCACUUGGAGCCGACCGCUACCUCUCUUCUCUCACCACCAUUAGCGAUGUCGAGGUCUCCAAUGAUUUGCAGGUAAAGAAAACUUAAUUCUCCACUCCUGCUUUGAGAUUUUUUACUUAAGAGAUAUGUUACAAAGCUGAAAAUGGUUUGUUUGGGGGGUUUGUAGAUUGUGAAAGUGUAUGUAUCGGUGUUUGGAGAUGAUAGAGGGAAAGACGUUGCGAUAGCGGGGUUGAAAUCGAAAGCUAAGUACGUUAGGAGUGAGCUCGGGAAGCGAAUGAAGCUGAGAUUGACGCCUGAGGUCAGAUUCAUUGAGGAUGAGUCCAUGGAUAUGAAGCAGGGUAAGCCUUCUCAUAUAUAUAUAUAUCACUGAAACUAACUAUGUUUCCUGCAUUUUAUGAGAAUUAUACAUAAUCUCCAGAUUGAUCUCAUUUAUAGAACAUAUAGUCAUCACGUAGUUGAUUAUUCUUUGGAUGUCUUCUUUGAAAAACUGCUAGUUUUUGCUAUUCAGUCAAGUAGCUGUCUCAUGUUUUGCCUGAUUCUGCGUUUAUAAAAAACUGAAAUUUGGAGAUUGUUUCAGGUAAUCGCGAUACUAGACAAAAUAAAAGCUGAAAAGGGAAGCGAAGGGGAGCCAGAAACGUCUGAUUCGCCAGAGGAUGAUCAAGAUUGGGGAGUGGAUGACCCCGACGAAGACAUCAUCUAUGUAAAGUAAACGGUCGCAAACAGUUUUAGCUACCAAGCACAAGUGCAUAUUACUAAGAAUUUCCCCUCAUCAUAUUUUCAAAUCAUCUAAGAGAGAUCAUUGACAUUGGUGCACCAUCUGACUCUGCGGGUAAUCUUUUCACAUGUUUUGUGUGAAGUUUACUAUAAGGAAUAUGUUGAUGACUCGGAAUUGAGAACUAGAGAAGACGAAUACCGAUAUACAUAGCUCACAUGGCUCCUUCCUCAGCAUGGAUCAGCUUCUUUGCUACUUGGAUGGACUCAACUCUCUCCGAAGAAAUGUUUUAUUUCGGAUAUUUGGAUGAAUCAGUGUACCAAUGUGGGUCAUAUAACUCAUUAGCCCUCCCUCCUCUUUGUUGUUCUGAUAGUAGAAGAAGUUAACCGAUUUGAAAUUGAAAUACCAAACAAAACCGGAUUGGACACUUGUUUAGCUUUGAUGCGAGUUGUUAACAUAUUGAACGUGGGCUUCACAACUAGGCCCAGGCCCAAGGAUGUGGUCGUCUCUGUUGUUAAAAAGAAGAGACAAGCUACGUUGCUCCCUUCCACUCAUCUGAAAGAAACAAAAAAAAAAACUAAAUAAAAUAAAGUAAGAAAAAACGCAGCGAUAUCCACGCUGCUCCAUCUCUCUCUCGCCAGAUAUCAAUCAUCGACUCGCUCCUCAGAUUUCAGAUCCAAAUCUACACACAAAAAGCUUCAACAUGUCUACCUUCAGCGGCGAUGAAACAGCUCCUUUCUUCGGCUUCCUCGGCGCNNNNNNNNNNNNNNNNNNNNNNNNNNNNNNNNNNNNNNNNNNNNNNNNNNNNNNNNNNNNNNNNNNNNNNNNNNNNNNNNNNNNNNNNNNNNNNNNNNNNNNNNNNNNNNNNNNNNNNNNNNNNNNNNNNNNNNNNNNNNNNNNNCGAAGAAAAAAGAUACUCGAGGGUGAGGCGGUCACUUCACUGACGUGUGCUAUACAUACUCAGUCAUAAAACCCUUUCCCCAAAUUAACCCUUAAAAACAAAAUUAAAAUAAAAUAAAAAACCUAAAAGAGCCAUUUCUUUUCACAAAGACAAACCAUAUCAUCCAUGGCGGCCACUUCUUGCUUCUCCUCUUCCAUCUCUCUCAAUGCUAAACCCAACAAGCCCUCCAAGCCUCUCCCUUUCCUCCGCAGCCCCUUCCUUAAACCCUCUUCCUCUCCUCUUCCCGCUUCCCUCUCUUCUUCUCAUGGAGUUGUUUCUUCCUCGAGAAUCAAAAACCAUCCACUUGCCUUUCUUUCAGACAACAACGACGAUUACGACGAGAAGCCUCGUGAGGAGUGCGGCGUUGUCGGAAUCUACGGAGACUCGGAAGCCUCGCGCCUCUGCUACCUAGCCCUCCACGCCCUCCAGCACCGAGGCCAAGAAGGCGCGGGAAUCGUAACCGUCAGCAAAGACAAGGUCCUCCAGACAAUAACAGGCGUCGGUCUUGUCUCCGAGGUCUUCAAC